UAAUACGUAGGCAGCAAGCGUUGUUCGGAGUUACUGGGCGUAAAGAGUACGUAGGCGGUUUGCUAAGUCUGGUGUGAAAUCUCCUGGCUUAACUGGGAGGGUGCGCUAGAUACUGGCAGGCUUGAGUAUGGGAGAGGAGAGUGGAAUUCCUGGUGUAGCGGUGAAAUGCGUAGAUAUCAGGAGGAACGCCGGUGGUGUAGACGGCUCUCUGGACCAUUACUGACGCUGAGGUACGAAAGCGUGGGUAGCAAACAGGAUUAGAUACCCUGGUAGUCCACGCCCUAAACGAUGCGGACUUGGUGUAGGCAGUUCAGUCUGUCUGUGCCGGAGCUAACGCGUUAAGUCCGCCGCCUGGGGAGUACGGUCGCAAGGCUG
RNAcentral lists this ribosomal RNA (375 nucleotides) under uncultured bacterium. Its description in RNAcentral is "bacterial SSU rRNA". It matches the Rfam family "Bacterial small subunit ribosomal RNA", at positions 521 to 896 of the family's 1533-position model. The record is from RNAcentral.